RNAcentral lists this ribosomal RNA (448 nucleotides) under uncultured bacterium. RNAcentral describes it as "bacterial SSU rRNA". It matches the Rfam family "Bacterial small subunit ribosomal RNA", at positions 28 to 498 of the family's 1533-position model. The record is from RNAcentral.
GACAAACGCUAGCGGCGUGUAUUAGGCAUGCAAGUCGCACGGUCACCUCGCAAGAGGUGGCAGUGGCGGACGGGUGAGUAACACGUGGGUAACCUGCCUCGCAGUGGGGAAUAACUCGCCGAAAGGCGAGCUAAUACCGCAUACCACUCUCGGUGAGAAUCCGAGCAGUAAAAGUAGCAAUGCGCUGUGAGAGGGGCCCGCGGCCGAUUAGCUUGUUGGUGGGGAACGGCCUACCAAGGCGACGAUCGGUAGCUGGUCUGAGAGGAUGGUCAGCCACACGGGGACUGAGAUACGGCCCCGACUCCUACGGGAGGCAGCAGCUAAGAAUCUUGCGCAAUGAGCGAAAGCUUGACGCAGCAACGCCGCGUGGAGGACGAAGGCCCUCGGGUCGUAAACUCCUUUUGUGAGGGAAGAAGAUCUGACGGUACCUCACGAAUAAGCCACGGCU